This is a long non-coding RNA of Cucurbita moschata (crookneck pumpkin), 1969 nucleotides long. RefSeq lists it as uncharacterized. The record is from RefSeq and is a predicted model, not a curated record. Lineage: Eukaryota; Viridiplantae; Streptophyta; Magnoliopsida; Cucurbitales; Cucurbitaceae. The transcript has 2 exons.
ACAGAAAAAAAGUGGAGAAAAGAAAAAGGAGGGGGGAGCAUGUGGAGAGCAGGUGGUAAUGAAGACGUGGCGAAUGGUGAUUGAUGGAAGGAAGAAAACCCACGUGGGGAGGAUGGUAUGGAUCACGUGGGCAAAGUGAAGCAGCCAAUUCCAGAGAACCACAUCAGUCCUGGUACUGUACCAUAAAUAAUCGAGUUCGUCGCGUCCUUAUCUCUUCCUCCCUUGCCCUAACGCCCGCCCCGCCUCGCCCCGCCCACUUCUUGGCUCCAUUUCUCGCAAUCUCCGAAUCUCUUUGAUUAUAUAAUCUUCUCCCACGUUUGGACACAACGCACCUGAAAUCACCAGAAAUUUAUGGCCAAAUUGUUAGCCUUCUCCUGCAUUUGCACCUACACCUUCAGCUUUGUUUCUUCUUUUCUCUUCAAAUGCACAAGGCCACUGAGGUGCAGGUGCUUCUGCAAGUGAAUGCCAUCUUGGCUCUCUCUCUCCACCACCGCCGCCAUCUCCUCCCCGUACGGUUUUUUCAGGAAGCACAGUCCAAGCAUAUUGAAGUUUGAAAGGCCUUGAAUUGUUGUAGGGGAAAAGUAAUUAAAUACUGAAGGGGUAUGAGUGAGUUGUACCUGGAUUAUUUGACUUGGCCAACGUUGUUUGUUUGUCCUGCCGUACCUUUUCCUCAUGAACUAUUUUGUAAACUUUAGUUUUAAAACAGUGAAUUCUGGCCACUUAAAUAUUGAGUAAGAAAGAAAAAACUGAUAUUUCAUUCGGUUUAUAUAAUUAUUACACAAAAUCAACUAAAUUAAAACCGUGAUUCAUUCUCAAUUGCUUUUACAGUUUGCUGAAAAUAGAUAGAGGUUUAAUUUUAUCAUAUUGAUUUAAAUACGUAUCAAAAGACAAACUCUUGCAAUAAUUCAAAAUUGAAAAGAAAUAAACAAAAUAAAAGUAACAUAUCUUUUAUAGGUUGAGAAGGUAGGGAAUUGGACUCUACCAAGGAAGGUCACUUGUGGUUGGUGAGAAUAUAUUUUCUGAUGAUUCUAGGUCAGCUUCAAUCUAUCUUGGAUUGUGACUAUCUUUCAGCUAAUUUAAAUUAUUUUGAGUUAAGUUUAAAUUAUAAAUCAAUUUUCAUAGAAUUCUAAUUUAUAUAGCAGAAUUUUAAAUUAUGAUCAUGGAGCUCUUUAGGUAAAAUUAAAUUUUAAGGAGUAGUCUCUUGCAACAAGGUAGCCAAUGACUUCGGCCUAGGCCAACUAAGUAAGUGUCUCCACUAUUAGCUUGGUUUGAUGAAUUGUAUUAUGCAUGAUGAUGCAAUGUCCCAUGACUCCUCCACUUGUUAUAUGUAUGAAUGAUAUGUUAAGUUAUACAAAGUUUUGAUGCUAUGUUAUGAUGUGUCAUAUAUGUCAUAUGUUAUGUUAUACUAUGAUAACUUAUAUCAGGUAUAAAAGCUAUGUUAUAUUAGUGAUCAUAUCAUGUUGUAUAAAGUUGUUAUUAAAUCAAUAAGAUAUGAUAGCAUAAACUUUCGUAGAACAUGUCAGGAAAGCUAUGUUAGGUAUCUUGGAAUUUACAAGAAUUAUGACGGUAUAAUUCAUGACUUGUUAGGCUAUAAAUAAAGAGAAGUUUGUCUUGCAUCAUACAUUAUGCCAGGAUUAUAACCUAUGGGGAUUUCAUGCAUAUUUGUGUGUCAUGUGCAUUGGGAUAUUUCACCAAUAUGAUGAGUACGGAUAAAUACUUUACGACAUUUAUGUUUUCCAUGUUAUUAUGUGGGUCCUUCCCUCCAUAGCAUUCGACAACAACACAUUAGCAAGUGCUAGCUUGACGAGCCAAGUCUAGGGAGUGUGUGAGCCCCUUGGCGGGCCCAUGCACGCACACGUGAGCCAUCCGUAUAGAAAUAUUAUACAUCCAACCUUGUCGAGCCUAAAGUCAUGCUAUGAUGUUUUAAGAGGAUAGAUCUUACCAUGGUGCAUGUGUUUACCUUUUCUAA